GCCGAGUUAGCUCAGUGGUAGAGCAACCGCCUUGUAAGCGGUAGGUCGUCGGUUCAAAUCCGUCACUCGGCUCCA
RNAcentral lists this transfer RNA (75 nucleotides) under Armatimonadota bacterium. RNAcentral describes it as "Armatimonadetes bacterium (activated sludge metagenome) tRNA-Thr". It matches the Rfam family "tRNA". From Rfam's summary of the family: Transfer RNA (tRNA) molecules are approximately 80 nucleotides in length. The record is from RNAcentral. Lineage: Bacteria; Bacillati; Armatimonadota.